CUAUCGACAACGUUGAAUUUUUAUGGUCUCCGAAGGAACGGCGCAGUUUAACGAGCCGGCGAGAGUCUGGCCAUGUUUAUUGAUUUACUCGCUAAUUUUUCAGCUCCGGCAAAGACGGCCGAGGAGUGCGGUCAAUCAAGGACAUCCGAGGACUGGCCCGGGCUGAGAUGAGAGUCGAUCGCGGCAGGCAGGCCAUUGUCCUUGAUUUAUGGUCCGUCAUUCAUUGCCAGCCACCAAAGUUGACACUUCUGCGUAUAUCCCGGAGUUCGUCCUGCCAUUGUCAUCCAGUCACUCCCCUCGAUGUCGUCGUCCUGCGUCCUUCGACGUCCCUCCCGUUGCGCUCAUCCUGACAUUUUGACAAAUAAUUUUAUUGAUGCUCUGUUCCUCGCCGUCUGUGUUUGGUUUUUAAUUGUCGCUCAGCUGCGCUGGACGCACGUGAUAAUUGCUCAUUUUAUGACGCAUUUAUCAAAUGCUCGGCCUUGGUCUCGUCCUUGGCAUUGGCAUCGGCAUCGGCAUUCGGAAUGUCCUUUGUUCGGUGGUGAUUUUCUGCAUCAUGCUGCGUCUGACAGUUGGACUAGCGUACUCCUCCUGUUCCUCUUCUACCUUCCCCUUCAAUCCUCCGCAGAUGAGACAGUCACGCGUCAUUUAUUUGGCCGUGACAUUUCCACUCCGGGUUGCCAUUUUGCAUUCGCGGGAAUUAGGAAUGGAUUUGG
Non-coding RNA from Drosophila melanogaster (fruit fly), 713 nucleotides. The record is from Ensembl. Lineage: Eukaryota; Metazoa; Arthropoda; Insecta; Diptera; Drosophilidae.